Molecule: ribosomal RNA, 505 nt
Filed under: uncultured bacterium
Lineage: Bacteria
Description: partial 16S ribosomal RNA
Rfam family: Bacterial small subunit ribosomal RNA
Source: RNAcentral
GACGAACGCUGGCGGCGUGCCUAAUACAUGCAAGUAGAACGCACAGUUUAUACCGUAGCUUGCUACACCAUAGACUGUGAGUUGCGAACGGGUGAGUAACGCGUAGGUAACCUACCUGGUAGCGGGGGAUAACUAUUGGAAACGAUAGCUAAUACCGCAUAAUAUUAAUUAUUGCAUGAUAAUUAAUUGAAAGGUGCAAUUGCACCACUACCAGAUGGACCUGCGUUGUAUUAGCUAGUAGGUGAGGUAACGGCUCACCUAGGCGACGAUACAUAGCCGACCUGAGAGGGUGAUCGGCCACACUGGGACGGAGACACGGCCCAGACUCCUACGGGAGGCAGCAGUAGGGAAUCUUCGGAAAUGGACGAAAGUCUGACCGAGCAACGCCGCGUGAGUGAAGAAGGGUGUCGGAUCGGAAAGCUCGGUUGUAAGAGAAGAACGGGUGUGAGAGUGGAAAGUUCACACUGUGACGGUAUCUUACCAGAAAGGGACGGCUAACUACGUG